UGGUGCCUCAGGGUGGAGGACAGCUGUGGAUCUUUGGAGGGGAGUUUGCUUCUCCCGACGGAGAGCAGUUCUACCACUACAAGGAUCUCUGGGUGCUGCACUUGGCCACCAAGACCUGGGAGCAAGUAAGAUCAACAGGAGGCCCUUCAGGUCGGAGUGGACAUCGGAUGGUAGCCUGGAAGAGACAGUUAAUCCUUUUUGGUGGCUUCCAUGAGAGUACAAGAGAUUACAUCUACUACAAUGAUGUGUAUGCCUUUAACCUGGACACGUUCGCUUGGAGCAGACUGUCCCCAUCAGGGGCUGGGCCCGCACCUCGGUCAGGCUGCCAGAUGUCCAUCACCCCCCAGGGCAGCAUUGUCAUCUAUGGGGGCUACUCG
Long non-coding RNA from Neomonachus schauinslandi (Hawaiian monk seal), 377 nucleotides. RefSeq lists it as uncharacterized. The transcript has 3 exons. NCBI's taxonomy places the organism in Eukaryota, Metazoa, Chordata, Mammalia, Carnivora, Phocidae. The record is from RefSeq and is a predicted model, not a curated record.